CUCUGAGGGAGGUUUUAAGAGAGGAAGAGAGAAAAGGAAAGACUGAAAGCAAAGGUAAUAGUACAAAAUGACCAUAAUUACAAUUACGUAGUAGUAAUAAAUCCAGAAUUGCAGUGUAACACACCAGAGUAGAGUAAGGCCUUAAAACACAUUAGAAUUAGAAUUAAUAGGCUAUACUUUUGUUAGUACAUCCACCCUCAACCCAAAAUGCACCUUAGCUCCUGAAAAACACUGUGUUGUGUUCCUGCUAUGCUCCCAAUUACUUUAAUUAUGUUAUUAAAAGAAGUGUAGAAUAUAUGAAAUCUUAUUUCUUUGAAUAUUGUCAGUGUUUUUCUUUUGAUUCACCUCUUAGAGAAAGUGGAUUUUUCCCCUAAAUAUAUAUCAUACUGUUCUUGCUGGUUUUGAUUUUUUGUAAUAUUUUAAUAUAAGGGAAGAAUGGUUAUUAGAGUACCACCAAAUACUGUUUAAAUAUACCAUUUUACAUAAAUAUUACUCUAAUAUUAGUACAUUUAAUGUGGGCUAUGAAGAAAUGUCUUUGGACAGCUUAAUUAAAAUUCAGGAAAUUUUGCCAGCUUCUUUCCCAGUUUCAAUGAUAAAAAUAAAAUGCUGUGUGGUUGAUAUGAGAAUAGUUCUGAAGAGCACAACCUUUAUGUAUUUGCAUUGAUGCCUUCCUUCUCAUUUCUUGAAUACAUUUGCUAGAAUAUAUCUAUCUUAUUUUUUCUAAGAAACAUUUCUGUGUAUCUAAACUUUUUGCUGAUGUAUAAGUUGUUUAGUUAUACUUUCAUUUGUAUUGAUAGUCUUUUGCUUCUUUUGACUUUGGUUUUUUCUUAUUCAUCUUGCUUUUAAUUUACUCAUUACUUAAUUAAUGCAAAUUACUUAAUUAAUAAUAUCAACAACUAAGGCUUGGAAUCUGCCUCUGAGCCUCUUCAUUGGAAAUAUCUCAAGAGUACAUAAACAGGACAUUCAUUAUUGCUAUUUCUAAAGUUGUUGAGCUUUAAAUUUUUAUUUUCAAUUAGACAAACAUAGA
Molecule: long non-coding RNA, 1027 nt
Filed under: Callithrix jacchus (white-tufted-ear marmoset)
Lineage: Eukaryota; Metazoa; Chordata; Mammalia; Primates; Cebidae
Description: lncRNA (ENSCJAG00000084301.1)
Source: RNAcentral